RNAcentral lists this ribosomal RNA (328 nucleotides) under uncultured eukaryote. Its description in RNAcentral is "partial 18S ribosomal RNA". It matches the Rfam family "Eukaryotic small subunit ribosomal RNA", at positions 1470 to 1796 of the family's 1831-position model. The record is from RNAcentral.
CCCUUAGAUGUUCUGGGCUGCACGCGCGCUACACUGAUACUUUCAGCGAGUCCACCACCUUGCCUGGGAGGGUGGGGUAACCUCUGGAAAGUGCAUCGUGAUGGGGAUCGAUUAUUGUAAUUAUUAAUCUUCAACGAGGAAUUCCUAGUAAGCAUGUGUCAUCAGCCCGUGCUGAUUACGUCCCUGCCCUUUGUACACACCGCCCGUCGCUCCUACCGAUUGGGUGUGCUGGUGAAAUGUUCGGAUCGGCCGUUUGUCGCGGUUUCCGCGGCUCGUGGCUGAGAAGUUCAUUAAACCCUCCCACCUAGAGGAAGGAGAAGUCGUAACA